Salvia splendens (bonfire salvia) is the source of this 701-nucleotide RNA transcript. RefSeq lists it as uncharacterized. NCBI's taxonomy places the organism in Eukaryota, Viridiplantae, Streptophyta, Magnoliopsida, Lamiales, Lamiaceae. The transcript has 2 exons. The record is from RefSeq and is a predicted model, not a curated record.
CCUAAUCCUACCUUGAGCAACAAACUUUAUAUUUUCGUCAUAUUCUUGCUGCUACGCGGAAAACGUCCGCCGCCCAGCAAUCCGGGAUCACUACUUCGAACUGGUCGAGAGAUUGAUCGCUGCUACCUCGCGAGAAGGUUGUUAAUCGGUUCGUUGCGGAACGUCCGUAACAGAGUGAUAGGAAGGGCGGAGAUGGAUUGGGAGGAUCAGAUUUUGGAGGACACUGUGCCUCUUGUUGGAUUUGUUCGAAUGAUUCUUCACUCUGGAAAAUUCAUGGUACCUUUUCGGGUUCAGCCAUUCAGGAGAAGAAAUGAAGUAGGAAAAUGGGUCCAAUUAGGUCAUCAAAUAUCAAUGCAAGAGACUAAGCUUUUAUAGUACUGUCGAACACUUUCAGCAAGUGUAUGGUAUUAAAAAUUGGAUAUCGGUGUGUGUGAUGUUGACGGACGAUAGGCUUCGCGACAACGUUCAUCGGGGAGUCUGUUGGAGGUGUUCGUCGGCGGUAAUUAGCAAUAUUUAAAUAUUAGUUCUGUUCUGCCUAUAUCACAACCCUAUCUCAUUAAAUUCAUCGGUGAAUUACUAUUUGUAGCAAUAAGUCUUUAUACACAAGGACGGAUGCAGAAAAUAGUUUUGGUAGAAGCUAUAUGUACAUUUUAAAUUUCGAAUUUGAUAUUCAAAAUACUAAUCUUAAUUACAUUUUCUCA